AAAUCUUUAUUGUAUUAACCCUUGUGUGUCCGGAAUUGGUGGGUUCUUGGUCUCACUGACUUCAAGAAUGAAGCCUGGGACACUCACGGAAUCAAGACAACUCACCAGAAAAAGGACUGAGAACUCCUUCUGGAUGAAGAUACUUCCUAGGUGCAAGAGAGUUGAGUGAAGGCUAAAGCUCUAUAACCAUUGAAAGCUGGCUGGGGGAAAAGAAGAAGAGGCAAAAAGAUCAACUGAAGAAUAAACUGCUGUCAUUGGCACAAAAGAAUACCACAAAGAUUAUUUACAAAACUCGAAUCAGGAGUAGAACAGACCUCCAUGUGGAAGUUCAAUUAUGCUAAGAGGAAAGAGGAAAGGGGAAGAGUUUACAGAAAUAA
This 377-nucleotide long non-coding RNA is filed under the name Homo sapiens (human). Its description in RNAcentral is "HSALNT0059119". The record is from RNAcentral. Lineage: Eukaryota; Metazoa; Chordata; Mammalia; Primates; Hominidae.